Drosophila yakuba is the source of this 616-nucleotide long non-coding RNA. RefSeq lists it as uncharacterized. Lineage: Eukaryota; Metazoa; Arthropoda; Insecta; Diptera; Drosophilidae. The record is from RefSeq and is a predicted model, not a curated record. The transcript has 2 exons.
CGUCAGAUACUCUUGAUAUACAUGCGUUUUGCGUUAGUAUAUACAUACAUAUAUAUGUAAGUAUAUGUAUCUGCCUUGCCUUUUGUAAUUUAACGUCUUACUCAAAUCUUCUCUCUACGAAAGAAGCGAACACAUGCUGUGCUUCUUCAGCUUCAUACAAAUAUCCAUAUCUGUAUGUUUGUUUAACGUGCAUUCGUGUGAUUUUCCAAGAUUUUUAUGUGUGAGCAUAUGUAUGUAUAAAUAUCCGCACCAACUAAUCGUAUUUGCAGUUUCUUUUUCGAUUAAGACGGAGCAGGCACAGAUUGAAGCAUCAUCAUUAUCAAGAAACUGAGUCGAGAAGACCUUUGGAAUAAUGUUGUCCGACGAAGCUGAAAAUAAAAAGAAAAAACAGACAAACAGGCGCAAAACCAAAAUCAAGGGAACGUUUUUUGGGCCUUUAUAGGUACAUAUAUACAUAUGUAAAAUGUAUAUAUGUAUAUGCGUGUAUAAAUUAACCUUAAUUUUUAUAUGUAUGUAUGUAUUGAGUUAAAAAUUUAUUGUUAAAUAGUUUUAACGCACGCAACUUUUUACAUACUUGUAGCAACUCUUCCUAAUAAACAAAAUUUGUUUUCAAAUA